UGCUGUCUGUACGUCAGAAAGAUUCGAACCUGCGCAGGUUCGGGUCGAACGAAGUGAGACAACGACGCCGCUUGCGGCGACGGCCCGAAGGGCGAGCGAGGCGAGUUAUCCUGCACGACCCACCA
RNAcentral lists this small RNA (125 nucleotides) under Franconibacter helveticus. Its description in RNAcentral is "RtT sRNA". It matches the Rfam family "RtT RNA". From Rfam's summary of the family: This family represents a bacterial cis-regulatory element known as RtT RNA. The exact function of RtT is unknown although it is thought that it may be involved in changing the cellular response in relation to amino acid starvation. Lineage: Bacteria; Pseudomonadati; Pseudomonadota; Gammaproteobacteria; Enterobacterales; Enterobacteriaceae. The record is from RNAcentral.